GCUCACUUUGUCAGCACAUACUAAAAUUGUAAUGAUACAGAGAAUAUUAGCAUAGCCCCAGCAUAAGGAUGACAUGCAAAUUUGUGAAGCAUUCCAAAAUUAU
Molecule: small nuclear RNA, 103 nt
Organism: Erinaceus europaeus (western European hedgehog)
Lineage: Eukaryota; Metazoa; Chordata; Mammalia; Eulipotyphla; Erinaceidae
Source: Ensembl